This 253-nucleotide ribosomal RNA is filed under the name uncultured bacterium. RNAcentral describes it as "partial 16S ribosomal RNA". It matches the Rfam family "Bacterial small subunit ribosomal RNA", at positions 524 to 776 of the family's 1533-position model. The record is from RNAcentral.
UACGAAGGGUGCAAGCGUUAAUCGGAAUUACUGGGCGUAAAGCGUGCGUAGGCGGUUUGAUAAGUCUGUUGUGAAAUCCCCGGGCUCAACCUGGGAAUGGCAAUGGAUACUGGCAAGCUAGAGUGUGUCAGAGGAUGGUGGAAUUCCCGGUGUAGCGGUGAAAUGCGUAGAGAUCGGGAGGAACAUCAGUGGCGAAGGCGGCCAUCUGGGACAACACUGACGCUGAGGCACGAAAGCGUGGGGAGCAAACAGG